Molecule: ribosomal RNA, 253 nt
Filed under: uncultured bacterium
Lineage: Bacteria
Description: partial 16S ribosomal RNA
Rfam family: Bacterial small subunit ribosomal RNA
Source: RNAcentral
UACGUAGGGAGCAAGCGUUGUCCGGAAUCAUUGGGCGUAAAGCGCGCGUAGGUGGCUUCGUAAGUCCGUUGUGAGAGUCAAAGGCUCAACCUUUGAAAGCCGAUGGAUACUGCGGAGCUAGAGUACGGAAGAGGCGAGUGGAAUUCCUGGUGUAGCGGUGGAAUGCGCAGAUAUCAGGAGGAACACCAAUAGCGAAGGCAGCUCGCUGGGACGUUACUGACACUGAGGCGCGAAAGCGUGGGGAGCGAACAGG